RNAcentral lists this ribosomal RNA (463 nucleotides) under uncultured Rhodoferax sp. RNAcentral describes it as "bacterial SSU rRNA". It matches the Rfam family "Bacterial small subunit ribosomal RNA", at positions 919 to 1382 of the family's 1533-position model. The record is from RNAcentral. Lineage: Bacteria; Pseudomonadati; Pseudomonadota; Betaproteobacteria; Burkholderiales; Comamonadaceae.
ACCCGCACAAGCGGUGGAUGAUGUGGUUUAAUUCGAUGCAACGCGAAAAACCUUACCCACCUUUGACAUGUACGGAACCCUUUAGAGAUAGAGGGGUGCUCGAAAGAGAGCCGUAACACAGGUGCUGCAUGGCUGUCGUCAGCUCGUGUCGUGAGAUGUUGGGUUAAGUCCCGCAACGAGCGCAACCCUUGUCAUUAGUUGCUACAUUCAGUUGGGCACUCUAAUGAGACUGCCGGUGACAAGCCGGAGGAAGGUGGGGAUGACGUCAAGUCCUCAUGGCCCUUAUAGGUGGGGCUACACACGUCAUACAAUGGCUGGUACAAAGGGUUGCCAACCCGCGAGGGGGAGCCAAUCCCAUAAAGCCAGUCGUAGUCCGGAUCGUAGUCUGCAACUCGACUACGUGAAGUCGGAAUCGCUAGUAAUCGUGGAUCAGAAUGUCACGGUGAAUACGUUCCCGGGUCUU